GUUUAAGAGGGCCAGAUGUUUUAAUAGCAAGAUGUAUGAUGUUACAGUAUCAACUAUGUGCUUCAACAAACUUGUAAUAUUGACUAGACAACGUUGUUACACAAUCCUGUGACACUAAACUAGCACACACACACACACACACAAAGGAAUGUGCUUUAAAACACAUUGAAACAAAGUUAGCUUAUAAUAGACAUUAUAUAUACAUACAUAAAAUAAUCCAGAACACGGUAUUGAUUACUGCAAGAAGUUCAUGACUGUAAUAUAAUUAAUUUGCCUAUUUUUAAAUGCGUGAUAAAAUUACAUUAUGUAAAUUUUAAAUGCUCAAUUAAAUUAAAUUUUUACUCUUUAUAUAUUUCAAAAUAAUUUGUAUAAUUACAAUGCUGCACAUAGUCACAUAUCUCAUACGAUGCCACUAUUCAACUGAAUCACAAAUGCUAUUAUUUUAAUUUCUUUGAAAGCUAAAAAAAAUCUUAAUGCAUAUAAUAGUGAUCAAAUUUAGCAAAUUUAUUGUAUGAAUGAAUUAUUUCAGGAAGCUACUAGAAGCUAUAGGAAUGUACAAAAUAGCAUGUAUCCAUGAAGUAUGAUAUCAAACAGCACAGAGUACAUCAAAGCAAUAAAUAAUAACUAGAGAUACUGGCACCUUAUGCUUGAACAAGAGGCUUACAAACAGUUUAAUGCUGAUAGGGAGGGAGGGAGAGAGAGAAAGAGAAAGAAAUAGUAGGAAAGAG
This is a non-coding RNA of Biomphalaria pfeifferi, 728 nucleotides long. NCBI's taxonomy places the organism in Eukaryota, Metazoa, Mollusca, Gastropoda, Planorbidae. The record is from the annotation of a GenBank genome assembly.